This is a non-coding RNA of Bos taurus (domestic cattle), 72 nucleotides long. Lineage: Eukaryota; Metazoa; Chordata; Mammalia; Artiodactyla; Bovidae. The record is from Rfam.
UCCCUGGUAGCUCAGGUGGUAAAGAACCUGCCUGCAAUGCAGUAGACCUAGGUUCGAUCCCUGGGUUGGGAA